This 1443-nucleotide ribosomal RNA is filed under the name metagenome. Its description in RNAcentral is "bacterial SSU rRNA". It matches the Rfam family "Bacterial small subunit ribosomal RNA". The record is from RNAcentral.
AGAGUUUGAUCCUGGCUCAGGAUGAACGCUGGCGGCGUGCUUAACACAUGCAAGUCGAACGAUCCUUCGGGAUAGUGGCGGACGGGUGAGUAACGCGUGGGAAUCUGCCCUCAGGAGGGGGAUAACGGCUGGAAACGGCCGCUAAUACCCCAUAUGCCGAGAGGUGAAAUGAAUUUCGCCUGAGGAUGAGCCCGCGUCUGAUUAGCUAGUUGGUGGGGUAAAGGCCUACCAAGGCAACGAUCAGUAGCUGGUCUGAGAGGAUGAUCGGCCACACUGGGACUGAGACACGGCCCAGACUCCUACGGGAGGCAGCAGUGGGGAAUUUUCCGCAAUGGGCGAAAGCCUGACGGAGCAACGCCGCGUGAGGGAUGAAGGCCUCUGGGCUGUAAACCUCUUUUCUCAAGGAAGAAGACCUGACGGUACUUGAGGAAUAAGCCACGGCUAAUUCCGUGCCAGCAGCCGCGGUAAUACGGGAGUGGCAAGCGUUAUCCGGAAUUAUUGGGCGUAAAGCGUCCGCAGGCGGCCUUGUAAGUCUGUUGUUAAAGCGUGGAGCUCAACUCCAUUUAAGCAAUGGAAACUACAAGGCUGGAGUGUGGUAGGGGCAGAGGGAAUUCCCGGUGUAGCGGUGAAAUGCGUAGAUAUCGGGAAGAACACCAGUGGCGAAGGCGCUCUGCUGGGCCAUAACUGACGCUCAUGGACGAAAGCCAGGGGAGCGAAAGGGAUUAGAUACCCCUGUAGUCCUGGCCGUAAACGAUGAACACUAGGUGUCGGGGGAAUCGACCCCCUCGGUGUCGUAGCCAACGCGUUAAGUGUUCCGCCUGGGGAGUACGCACGCAAGUGUGAAACUCAAAGGAAUUGACGGGGGCCCGCACAAGCGGUGGAGUAUGUGGUUUAAUUCGAUGCAACGCGAAGAACCUUACCAGGGUUUGACAUCCUGCGAACCCCUGAGAAAUCGGGGGGUGCCUUCGGGAGCGCAGAGACAGGUGGUGCAUGGCUGUCGUCAGCUCGUGUCGUGAGAUGUUGGGUUAAGUCCCGCAACGAGCGCAACCCACGUCUUUAGUUGCCAGCAUUCAGUUGGGCACUCUAGAGAGACCGCCGGUGAUAAACCGGAGGAAGGUGUGGAUGACGUCAAGUCAUCAUGCCCCUUACAUCCUGGGCUACACACGUACUACAAUGCUACGGACAAAGGGCAGCAAGCUCGCGAGAGUUAGCAAAUCCCAUAAACCGUGGCUCAGUUCAGAUCGUAGGCUGCAACUCGCCUACGUGAAGGAGGAAUCGCUAGUAAUCGCAGGUCAGCAUACUGCGGUGAAUACGUUCCCGGGCCUUGUACACACCGCCCGUCACACCAUGGAAGUUGGCCAUGCCCGAAGUCGUUACUCCAACCCUUGUGGAGGAGGACGCCGAAGGUGGGGCUGAUGACUGGGGUGAAGUCGUAACAAGGUA